ACCUGGUUGGCUCAGUCAGUGGAGCAUGUGACUCUUGAUCUCAGGGUUGUGAGUUCAAGCCCCACACUGGGCA
RNAcentral lists this transfer RNA (73 nucleotides) under Felis catus (domestic cat). It matches the Rfam family "tRNA". From Rfam's summary of the family: Transfer RNA (tRNA) molecules are approximately 80 nucleotides in length. Lineage: Eukaryota; Metazoa; Chordata; Mammalia; Carnivora; Felidae. The record is from Rfam by way of RNAcentral. RNAcentral also lists the same sequence under 4 other names.